This is a small nucleolar RNA of Neoarius graeffei (lesser salmon catfish), 71 nucleotides long. RefSeq annotates it as small nucleolar RNA SNORD18. The transcript has a single exon. Lineage: Eukaryota; Metazoa; Chordata; Actinopteri; Siluriformes; Ariidae. The record is from RefSeq and is a predicted model, not a curated record.
AUACAAUGAUGAGCUUCCACUUUUGGUCUGUGUUUCUGAAUGCUGUGAUUUACUUAUGAAGUUCUGAGUCA